CACGUAGGGCGCAAGCGUUGUCCGGAAUUAUUGGGCGUAAAGAGCUCGUAGGCGGUCUGUUACGUCUGCUGUGAAAACCCAGGGCUUAACCCUGGGCUUGCAGUGGAUACGGGCAGACUAGAGGCAGGUAGGGGAGAAUGGAAUUCCCGGUGUAGCGGUGAAAUGCGUAGAUAUCUGGAGGAACACCGGUGGCGAAGGCGGCGUCCUGGACCAACACUGACACUGAGGAGCGAAAGCCAGGGGAGCAAACGGG
Molecule: ribosomal RNA, 253 nt
Filed under: uncultured bacterium
Lineage: Bacteria
Description: partial 16S ribosomal RNA
Rfam family: Bacterial small subunit ribosomal RNA
Source: RNAcentral